CUGGUGUUAGUGGAUUUUUCUUCCAGAAGCUGAAAUUGGGCAACCCUCAAGCCGGGAGUGGAACGAGCAGUGAGAUGUGAUUGCCUGGUGUGCGAGGCAGCCAAAAUACACAGCGACAUCCCUAUCGCUUCAUCUCCCAUCAGGGGUGAACGCCUCUGCUCUCCCCUGUGUGCUCUCCAGCCUGCGUAACACUGACGUUGUGCUGGGCCAGCUGAGUAGGAUAUGGGCAGGAUCAGGCCAGACCGGAUGGGGUUCCCGUGGCUGAUUCCUCUGGGGAAGAUGCUGGAUGCAGCAUGGUUCUUGAGGAGAGCUGAAGAAAGAAGGGGACUGCAGGAAUUCACAGUCCAAAAUGAUGACCAAGCCUUCCCUGUGAGGGCCUUGACUUCUGCCAUCCCACCCCUGUGGCGGUGGUUCUCCAUGGAAGACCAACAGCAUCUCCCACAUCUUUCCUUUUGCUCUGAAGGACAACAGGUAGCUUGCUCCUUGAGCAGUCAGCUUGCUCUUGACGCGAUUGCUCUUGGACAAUCAUCUGAGGGCCGCUAAUGUCCUGCAAAUUGCAUCUUUCACAUUUUGCAGCAUAUCCCCUUACGGUUCCUCAUGCCCUUGGCUCAGUGUUGGGAUGUUGGAGCUGGAGUGGGGCUGCUGUGCAGCCAGCCUGGCUCCUUUAGCUAACACAAAUCGUGGUUGUCAGGUGCAGUCUGGGAAAACAACAUUUCCAAUUCAAAACAGUGGAUUUCUGAGGUAGGAAAUUCCUGCCCCAUCAAGGACGCAGUAUCUAUCUUCACAGAAGGAUUUCUUUUUGGUUAGAGUAAUCCAUCGUGGCCAUUAGAGCAUCUUUCUUUGUUAACGUCUUGGUGUUGGGGUGAAGCUGAUCAGCCCAAAGGGGCAAAGACAUACUUGGUGAGAUAUCAGCCCAUUGUCUGAUAGUAUGUCUCUGAAGCACCACCAGUGAAGUGUAAAGGCAAUCUGUGGAUGUCAUCAGAGCUGACAGCUCUUUUCGGAGGACAUAUUUAUUUCUUGAUGCUCAGCUUCCAUGUUUACAUGUAGAUCAAUCACAGUUCUUCUUGGAGGAUCUAUAA
Molecule: long non-coding RNA, 1079 nt
Filed under: Gallus gallus (chicken)
Lineage: Eukaryota; Metazoa; Chordata; Aves; Galliformes; Phasianidae
Description: lncRNA (ENSGALG00010026289.1)
Source: RNAcentral